GAUGAACGCUGGCGGCGUGCCUAAUACAUGCAAGUCGAACGCUUCACUUCGGUGAAGAGUGGCGAACGGGUGAGUAAUACAUAAGUAACCUGGCAUCUACAGGGGGAUAACUGAUGGAAACGUCAGCUAAGACCGCAUAGGUGUAGAGAUCGCAUGAACUCUAUAUGAAAAGUGCUACGGGACUGGUAGAUGAUGGACUUAUGGCGCAUUAGCUUGUUGGUAGGGUAACGGCCUACCAAGGCGACGAUGCGUAGCCGACCUGAGAGGGUGACCGGCCACACUGGGACUGAGACACGGCCCAGACUCCUACGGGAGGCAGCAGUAGGGAAUUUUCGGCAAUGGGGGGAACCCUGACCGAGCAACGCCGCGUGAAGGAAGAAGUAAUUCGUUAUGUAAACUUCUGUCAUAGAGGAAGAACGGUGGAUAUAGGGAAUGAUAUCCAAGUGACGGUACUCUAUAAGAAAGCCACGGCUAACUACGUG
RNAcentral lists this ribosomal RNA (482 nucleotides) under uncultured bacterium. RNAcentral describes it as "partial 16S ribosomal RNA". It matches the Rfam family "Bacterial small subunit ribosomal RNA", at positions 28 to 507 of the family's 1533-position model. The record is from RNAcentral.